This 1319-nucleotide ribosomal RNA is filed under the name human gut metagenome. Its description in RNAcentral is "bacterial LSU rRNA". It matches the Rfam family "Bacterial large subunit ribosomal RNA", at positions 946 to 2274 of the family's 2925-position model. The record is from RNAcentral.
UUAUCAAACUUCGAAUGCCGCUAACUUAUACCCGGGAGUCAGACUGUGUGAGAUAAGUCUCACGGUCAAAAGGGAAACAGCCCAGAUCAUCAGCUAAGGUCCCAAAGUGCAGGUUAAGUGGAGAAGGAUGUGUCAGUGCACAGACAACCAGGAUGUUGGCUUAGAAGCAGCCACACAUUUAAAGAGUGCGUAAUAGCUCACUGGUCGAGUGCUGAUGCGCCGAAGAUUAACGGGGCUAAAACCUGCCACCGAAGCUAUGGAUUUGCCGCAAGGCAAGUGGUAGAGGAGCAAUGUGUACAGGCAGAAGCCGUACCGUCAGGAGCGGUGGACAGUACACAAGAGAGAAUGCCGGUAUGAGUAGCGAGAGUGAGGUGAGAAUCCUCACCGUCGAAAGCCAAAGGUUUCCUGAGGAAGGUUCGUCCUCUCAGGGUAAGUCGGGGACUAAGCCGAGGGCGGUAGAGCCGUAGGCGAUGACCAGCAGGUAGAGAUUCCUGCACCACCAGUGUAUCGUUUGAGGAAGCAGUGACACAGAAGGAUAGUCAGAGCGCGUUGAUGGUAGAGCGCGUCCAAGCAGUGAGGCUGAUACGCAGUAAAGUACACGUAUCGAAAGGCUGGGCUGUGACGGGGAGUUAAGUGAUAUGAAGCUGAUGAAUUCACGCUGGCGAGAAAAGCUGCUAACGAGAUAUACGGUGCCCGUACCGCAAACCGACACAGGUAGGCGAGGAGAGAAUCCUAAGACGAGCGAGAGAACCAUUGUUAAGGAACUCGGCAAAAUUACCUCGUAACUUCGGGAGAAGGGGUGCCUAUAGAGAUAUAGGUCGCAGAGAAUAGGCCCAAGCGACUGUUUAACAAAAACACAGGUCUGUGCUAAAUCGAGAGAUGAAGUAUACGGGCUGACGCCUGCCCGGUGCUGGAAGGUUAAGGGAAUGAGUCAGGAGCAAUCCGAAGCUUUGAACUGAAGCCCCAGUAAACGGCGGCCGUAACUAUAACGGUCCUAAGGUAGCGAAAUUCCUUGUCGGGUAAGUUCCGACCUGCACGAAUGGCGUAACGAUUUGGGCGCUGUCUCAACAGUGGACUCGGCGAAAUUGAAGUAUGCGUGAAGAUGCGCAUUACCCGCGACUGGACGGAAAGACCCCGUAGAGCUUUACUGUAGCCUGAUAUUGGAUUUUGGUAAUGAAUGUACAGGAUAGGUGGGAGACUGAGAGACAAGGACGUCAGUUUUUGUGGAGUCGACGUUGGGAUACCACUCUUGCAUUACUGAAAUUCUAACCUGUAGCCGUGAAACCGGUAUGGGGACAGUGUCAGGUGGGCAGUUUGAC